UAGGGAAUAUUAGUAAUGGGCGAAAGCCUGAACUAGCAACGCCGCGUGUGCGAAGAAGGCCUUCGGGUCGUAAAGCACUUUUUGAGAGGAUGAGGAAGGACGGUACUCUCAGAAUAAGUCUCGGCUAACUACGUGCCAGCAGCCGCGGUAACACGUAGGAGGCAAACGUUAUCCGGAUUUACUGGGCGUAAAGCGCGUGUAGGUAGUUUGGUAAGUAGGGCGUGAAAGCUCCUGGCUCAACUGGGAGAGGACGUUCUAAACUGCCAAACUUGAGGAUGGUAGAGGGAGGUGGAAUUCCGGGUGUAGCGGUGGAAUGCGCAGAUAUCCGGAGGAACACCAGUGGCGAAGGCGGCCUCCUGGACCACUCCUGACACUCAGACGCGAAAGCUAGGGUAGCAAACGG
RNAcentral lists this ribosomal RNA (403 nucleotides) under uncultured bacterium. Its description in RNAcentral is "bacterial SSU rRNA". It matches the Rfam family "Bacterial small subunit ribosomal RNA", at positions 355 to 775 of the family's 1533-position model. The record is from RNAcentral.